This 494-nucleotide ribosomal RNA is filed under the name uncultured bacterium. RNAcentral describes it as "partial 16S ribosomal RNA". It matches the Rfam family "Bacterial small subunit ribosomal RNA", at positions 28 to 507 of the family's 1533-position model. The record is from RNAcentral.
GACGAACGCUGGCGGCGUGCUUAACACAUGCAAGUCGAACGGAAAGGCCUGCUUUCCCUUGUGGAUUGCGGGUACUCGAGUGGCGAACGGGUGAGUAACACGUGAGUGAUCUGCCCCCAACUUGGGUAUAAGCCUGGGAAACUGGGUCUAAUUCCCGAUAGGACUGCAGGGUGGUGCCUGUGGUGGAAAACGAUUUUCUAGUGGUUGGGGAUGAGCUCGCGGCCUAUCAGCUUGUUGGUGGGGUAAUGGCCUACCAAGGCGGCGACGGGUAGCCGGCCUGAGAGGGUGGACGGCCACAUUGGGACUGAGAUACGGCCCAGACGACUACGGGAGGCAGCAGUGGGGAAUAUUGCACAAUGGGCGGAAGCCUGAUGCAGCGACGCAGCGUGGGGGAUGACGGCCGUCGGGUUGUAAACUCCUUUCGACCGCGAGGAAGCCACCUGGUUGGAAGGGUGGUGACGGUAGUGGUAGAAGAAGCACCGGCUAACUACGUG